This 572-nucleotide ribosomal RNA is filed under the name Lomentospora prolificans. RNAcentral's name for it is "Scedosporium prolificans Eukaryotic large subunit ribosomal RNA". It matches the Rfam family "Eukaryotic large subunit ribosomal RNA", at positions 143 to 737 of the family's 3401-position model. The record is from Rfam by way of RNAcentral. Lineage: Eukaryota; Fungi; Ascomycota; Sordariomycetes; Microascales; Microascaceae.
GUGAAGUGUGAAGAGGAUGACUUUGGAAAGGUGCCUUCGUAGUGCCCUGAAAUGGGAACACAAAGAGGGUGAGAGCCCCGUAUGGUCGGUCGCCGAGCCUCUGUAAAGCUCCUUCGACGAGUCGAGUAGUUUGGGAAUGCUGCUCAAAAUGGGAGGUAAACCCCUUCUAAAGCUAAAUAUUGGCCAGAGACCGAUAGCGCACAAGUAGAGUGAUCGAAAGAUGAAAAGCACUUUGAAAAGAGAGUUAAACAGCACGUGAAAUUGUUGAAAGGGAAGCGCUUGCGACCAGACUUGUGCUCGUCGAAUCAGCCGUCGCUCGUCGGCGGCGCAUUUCGGCGGGCUCAGGCCAGCAUCAGUUCGCUGUAGGGGGAGAAAGGCGGUAGGAAUGUGGCUCUUCGGAGUGUUAUAGCCUGCCGUGUAAUACCCCUCGGCGGACUGAGGACCGCGCAUCUGCAAGGAUGCUGGCGUAAUGGUUGUCAGCGACCCGUCUUGAAACACGGACCAAGGAGUCGUCCUAAUAUGCGAGUGUUCGGGUGUAAAACCCCUACGCGUAAUGAAAGUGAACGGAGGUG